AUUGGAUCCUUCUUGUUAUUGACCCGCAUAAUGAUACUACAUACGUGUUGGAUCCAUUGAAGGAAGAUCGUUAUUUUACGGAGAUAAAGAUCGUCACAGAAACAGCUAUAAAAAUGUUCAAUAAGAACAUAGGAAAAAGAGGAAGACAAAGUCAUGCGUGGGAAGUGAUAAAGUGUCAUCAACAACCUCACGGGUCAGUACAAUGUGGAUUCUAUGUAAUGCGUUACAUGAAAGACAUUAUUGAAAAUUAUGGAUGUGACCGCCCCAAACCAAUAUCUUCAUUGUUUGCCGAAGGAUUUUACUCUGAAGAAUAAAUCAAUGAACUUCGGGAAGAGUGGGCUGAGUUUGUAUAUCGUUUUGUUCAUAAGAAUGAUGAUGAAAGUUCAAGCUAGUUGGAUGAUAUAUUUGUUGGACAAUUGUUGGUGAUGAAGUCGUAAUUAGUUGGAGAUUUUAUUAGAAAUUUUUUUAGUAGAUAAAUAAAGGUGUAACUAGAGAUGAUACAAUUGUGGAUGUAAAUAUUUGAUUAUGAGUUUUAG
This is a long non-coding RNA of Salvia miltiorrhiza (redroot sage), 536 nucleotides long. RefSeq lists it as uncharacterized. The record is from RefSeq and is a predicted model, not a curated record. The transcript has 5 exons. NCBI's taxonomy places the organism in Eukaryota, Viridiplantae, Streptophyta, Magnoliopsida, Lamiales, Lamiaceae.